Molecule: long non-coding RNA, 549 nt
Filed under: Agrilus planipennis (emerald ash borer)
Lineage: Eukaryota; Metazoa; Arthropoda; Insecta; Coleoptera; Buprestidae
Description: uncharacterized LOC112904819
Source: RNAcentral
CAUAUGCAAAAUUAGCUAAAUUUGCCAAUAUUUGUUGCUUGCAUUCUAGAUUUAACAGAACAGUUUAAUACAAACUUGGAAAAUGAUUUGAAAAGAAGUUUCCCAUGAAUAAACAUGAAAAAAGUAAAAAUACUGCAUAAUGGACUUAUUUUAAUAUUUCUGCUUCUAAUUAUCUUUAUUGGAAGUAAUUUAUCAGUAAGCCUUAAAUUGACUUUGGAACCUAAUUUGGAACUGUUACAAAGUUUAAAAAGUGUAAAUAAUGAAAACAAAGACAUUAAAAACAAACUGAUUGAAGUUGAUGUCGCGAAAUUUCGAACAAAUCUUAGUAAUCCUGUUGAUCUUUUAACAAACGCAUUUUCAAAUUGGAUAGAAAAAUGUUGCUGCGAUACUGUGCCUCUUCCAGAUGUUUUCGAGAAUUUCGCUUUCUGCUCCUUGAAAUUGCAAAAUGGAAGGGUACAAAAACUGAGUACUAUAUAUCGUCAUAAAGAUCUAACAGCAUCAUUUGAAAAUGAUAAGCUUCGAUUUCACCUACCCGUGGGAUUCUCCGAA